UACGUAGGGGGCAAGCGUUGUCCGGAUUUAUUGGGCGUAAAGAGCUCGUAGGUGGUUCGGUAAGUCGGAUGUGAAAUCUCCAGGCUCAACCUGGAGGGGUCAUUCGAUACUGCCGUGACUAGAGGUCGGUAGGGGAGUGUGGAAUUCCUGGUGGAGCGGUGAAAUGCGCAGAUAUCAGGAGGAACACCAAUGGCGAAGGCAGCUCGCUGGGACGUGACUGACGCUGAGACGCGAAAGCGUGGGGAGCGAACAGG
Molecule: ribosomal RNA, 254 nt
Filed under: uncultured bacterium
Lineage: Bacteria
Description: partial 16S ribosomal RNA
Rfam family: Bacterial small subunit ribosomal RNA
Source: RNAcentral